This 72-nucleotide transfer RNA is filed under the name Chloroflexota bacterium. RNAcentral describes it as "Chloroflexi bacterium tRNA-Lys". It matches the Rfam family "tRNA". From Rfam's summary of the family: Transfer RNA (tRNA) molecules are approximately 80 nucleotides in length. Their secondary structure includes four short double-helical elements and three loops (D, anti-codon, and T loops). Lineage: Bacteria; Bacillati; Chloroflexota. The record is from RNAcentral.
GGGCGCGUGGCGCAAUGGCAGCGCAGUUGACUUUUAAUCAAUUGGUUGCAGGUUCGAGUCCUGCCGCGCUCA